RNAcentral lists this ribosomal RNA (441 nucleotides) under Notonemouridae sp. MD-2011. Its description in RNAcentral is "partial 16S ribosomal RNA". It matches the Rfam family "Archaeal large subunit ribosomal RNA", at positions 1911 to 2592 of the family's 2987-position model. Lineage: Eukaryota; Metazoa; Arthropoda; Insecta; Plecoptera; Notonemouridae. The record is from RNAcentral.
GUCUUCUUGAGAAAUAAUUUGAAGUCUGACCUGCCCACUGAAUUAAGUUUUGAAGGGCCGCGGUAUUUUGACCGUGCAAAGGUAGCAUAAUCAUUAGUCUUUUAAUUGGAGGCUAGAAUGAAUGGUUGGACGAGGUAUUGACUGUCUCAGUAUAAUUGAAAAUAGAAUUUAACUUUUAAGUCAAAAGGCUUAAAUAAUUUUAAAGGACGAGAAGACCCUAUAGAGCUUUACAUUUUAUUAUUUUUAUAAAUUUAGUAGUUUUUUUAUAAUAUUAAUAUAAGUGUUUUGUUGGGGUGACAGGAAGAUAAGAUAAACUCUUUUUAGUUUAAUAACAUUAAUUUAUGAAUUGUUGAUCCAUUAAUAUUGAUUAAAAGACUAAGUUACCUUAGGGAUAACAGCGUAAUCUUUUUCGAGAGUUCUAAUCGACAAAAAGGGUUGCGA